This 425-nucleotide ribosomal RNA is filed under the name uncultured bacterium. RNAcentral's name for it is "partial 16S ribosomal RNA". It matches the Rfam family "Bacterial small subunit ribosomal RNA", at positions 354 to 796 of the family's 1533-position model. The record is from RNAcentral.
GUGGGGAAUAUUGGACAAUGGGCGCAAGCCUGAUCCAGCCAUGCCGCGUGAGUGAUGAAGGCCUUAGGGUUGUAAAGCUCUUUCAGUGGGGACGAUAAUGACGGUACCCACAGAAGAAGCCCCGGCUAACUUCGUGCCAGCAGCCGCGGUAAUACGAAGGGGGCUAGCGUUGUUCGGAUUUACUGGGCGUAAAGCGCACGUAGGCGGAUCGUUAAGUCGGGGGUGAAAUCCUGGAGCUCAACUCCAGCACUGCCUUCGAUACUGGCGAUCUUGAGUCCGGAAGAGGUGAGUGGAACUCAUAGUGUAGAGGUGGAAUUCGUAGAUAUUAGGAAGAACACCAGUGGCGAAGGCGGCUCACUGGUCCGGUACUGACGCUGAGGUGCGAAAGCGUGGGGAGCAAACAGGAUUAGAAACCCUUGUAGUCC